This 464-nucleotide ribosomal RNA is filed under the name uncultured bacterium. Its description in RNAcentral is "partial 16S ribosomal RNA". It matches the Rfam family "Bacterial small subunit ribosomal RNA", at positions 28 to 507 of the family's 1533-position model. The record is from RNAcentral.
GACGAACGCUGGCGGCGUGCUUAACACAUGCAAGUCGAACGGUAAGGCCCCAGCUUGCUGGGGUACACGAGUGGCGAACGGGUGAGUAACACGUGGGUGGCCUGCCCCGCACUUCGGGAUAAGCCUGGGAAACUGGGUCUAAUACCGGAUAGGACCGCACCGUGAGGGUGUGGUGGAAAGUUUUUCGGUGUGGGAUGGGCCCGCGGCCUAUCAGCUUGUUGGUGGGGUAAUGGCCUACCAAGGCGGCGACGGGUAGCCGGCCUGAGAGGGUGGACGGCCACAUUGGGACUGAGACACGGCCCAGACUCCUACGGGAGGCAGCAGUGGGGAAUAUUGCACAAUGGGCGGAAGCCUGAUGCAGCGACGCCGCGUGGGGGAUGACGGCCUUCGGGUUGUAAACUCCUUUCACCAUCGACGAAGGUUUUCUGACGGUAGAUGGAGAAGAAGCACCGGCUAACUACGUG